RNAcentral lists this small RNA (882 nucleotides) under Arthroderma quadrifidum. Its description in RNAcentral is "eukaryotic LSU rRNA". The stretch from base 585 to 882 matches the Rfam family "Eukaryotic large subunit ribosomal RNA", at positions 1 to 295 of the family's 3401-position model. The record is from RNAcentral. Lineage: Eukaryota; Fungi; Ascomycota; Eurotiomycetes; Onygenales; Arthrodermataceae.
AGGAUCAUUAAAGCGUUGCCGACGUCGGCCCCGGCCGUUCGGCUUGAAAUAUAGCCUGGACGGUGCUGGAGGUCGCCGGCAGUUGCCCAUUCUUGCCUACUGACCCAGUUGCCUCGGCGAGCCGUGCCACUCGUGGCAGACCGGAAGCCGUUUGAACCCCUAGGGCUCAGGCGGCCCUGGCCAGUGCCCGCCGACGGACAGACUUAAAAUCUUUAUAUAUUGGCCGUCUGAGCGUAUAAAGCAAAUCAAUUAAAACUUUCAACAACGGAUCUCUUGGUUCCGGCAUCGAUGAAGAACGCAGCGAAAUGCGAUAAGUAAUGUGAAUUGCAGAAUUCCGUGAAUCAUCGAAUCUUUGAACGCACAUUGCGCCCCCUGGUAUUCCGGGGGGCAUGCCUGUUCGAGCGUCAUUGCAACCCUCAAGCUCGGCUUGUGUGAUGGGCGACCGUCCUUCCCCUAGGGGCGGGACGCGUCCGAAAAGCAGUGGCUAGGCCGCGAUUCCGGCGCCUGAGCGAAUGGGACUUCCACCGCUUCUAGGACCGGCCGGCACUUGGCCUUUAAACACGGUCUUAACUGACCAUCUAGGUUGACCUCGGAUCAGGUAGGGAUACCCGCUGAACUUAAGCAUAUCAAUAAGCGGAGGAAAAGAAACCAACAGGGAUUGCCCCAGUAACGGCGAGUGAAGCGGCAAAAGCUCAAAUUUGAAAUCUGGCUCCUUAGGGGUCCGAGUUGUAAUUUGUAGAGGAUGCUUCGGGUGCGGCCACGGCCUAAGUUCCUUGGAACAGGACGUCAUAGAGGGUGAGAAUCCCGUCUUGGGUCGUUGGUCCACGCCCGUGUGAAGCUCCUUCGACGAGUCGAGUUGUUUGGGAAUGCAGCUCUAAGCGG